CCUACGGGAGGCAGCAGUGGGGAAUUUUGGACAAUGGGCGCAAGCCUGAUCCAGCCAUGCCGCGUGUGGGAAGAAGGCCUUCGGGUCGUAAACCACUUUUGUCAGGGAAGAAACGGCCUUUUCUAAUACAGGGGGCUAAUGACGGUACCUGAAGAAUAAGCACCGGCUAACUACGUGCCAGCAGCCGCGGUAAUACGUAGGGUGCAAGCGUUAAUCGGAAUUACUGGGCGUAAAGCGUGCGCAGGCGGCUUUGCAAGACAGAUGUGAAAUCCCCGGGCUCAACCUGGGAACUGCAUUUGUGACUGCAUGGCUAGAGUACGGUAGAGGGGGAUGGAAUUCCGCGUGUAGCAGUGAAAUGCGUAGAUAUGCGGAGGAACACCGAUGGCGAAGGCAAUCCCCUGGACCUGUACUGACGCUCAUGCACGAAAGCGUGGGGAGCAAACAGGAUUAGAUACCCUGGUAGUCCACGCCCUAAACGAUGUCAACUGGUUGUUGGACGGCUUGCUGUUCAGUAACGAAGCUAACGCGUGAAGUUGACCGCCUGGGGAGUACGGCCGCAAGGUUGAAACUCAAAGGAUUGACGG
RNAcentral lists this ribosomal RNA (584 nucleotides) under uncultured bacterium. RNAcentral describes it as "bacterial SSU rRNA". It matches the Rfam family "Bacterial small subunit ribosomal RNA", at positions 338 to 916 of the family's 1533-position model. The record is from RNAcentral.